UUAGACAAGACUUUGUGUAGAGUGCAAAAUUACCCAAGUGACGGUAUCUAACCAGAAAGGGACGGCUAACUACGUGCCAGCAGCCGCGGUAAUACGUAGGUCCCGAGCGUUGUCCGGAUUUAUUGGGCGUAAAGCGAGCGCAGGUGGUUUAAUAAGUCUGAUGUAAAAGGCAGUGGCUCAACCAUUGUGUGCAUUGGAAACUGUUAGACUUGAGUGCAGUAGAGGAGAGUGGAAUUCCAUGUGUAGCGGUGAAAUGCGUAGAUAUAUGGAGGAACACCGGUGGCGAAAGCGGCUCUCUGGACUGUAACUGACACUGAGGCUCGAAAGCGUGGGUAGCAAACAGGAUUAGAUACCCUGGUAGUCCACGCCGUAAACGAUGAGUGCUAGUUGUUUGGGGCUAUCCAGCCCUAAGUGACGCAGCAAACGCAUUAAGCACUCCGCCUGGGGAGUACGACCGCAAGGUUGAAACUCAAAGGAAUUGACGGGGGCCCGCACAAGCGGUGGAGCAUGUGGUUUAAUUCGAAGCAACGCGAAGAACCUUACCAGGUCUUGACAUACCAGUGCUAUUCUUAGAGAUAAGAAGUUACUUCGGUACACUGGAUACAGGUGGUGCAUGGUUGUCGUCAGCUCGUGUCGUGA
RNAcentral lists this ribosomal RNA (639 nucleotides) under uncultured Lactococcus sp. RNAcentral's name for it is "bacterial SSU rRNA". It matches the Rfam family "Bacterial small subunit ribosomal RNA", at positions 439 to 1070 of the family's 1533-position model. Lineage: Bacteria; Bacillati; Bacillota; Bacilli; Lactobacillales; Streptococcaceae. The record is from RNAcentral.